This 253-nucleotide ribosomal RNA is filed under the name uncultured bacterium. Its description in RNAcentral is "partial 16S ribosomal RNA". It matches the Rfam family "Bacterial small subunit ribosomal RNA", at positions 524 to 776 of the family's 1533-position model. The record is from RNAcentral.
UACAGAGGUCCCAAGCGUUGUUCGGAUUCAUUGGGCGUAAAGGGUGCGUAGGCGGCGCGGUAAGUCGGGUGUGAAAUUUCGGAGCUUAAUUCCGAAACUGCAUUCGAUACUGGCGUGCUUGAGGACUGGAGAGGGAUGCGGAAUUCCAGGUGUAGCGGUGAAAUGCGUAGAUAUCUGGAGGAACACCGGUGGCGAAGGCGGCAUCCUGGACCGGCAUUGACGCUGAGGCGCGAAAGCCAGGGGAGCAAACGGG